UGCCACAGCCAUAUCACCCUGCAGCCCAAGACCGGUUACUCACUAAAGCUAAGCAGGGCUGAGCCUGGUCAGUACCUGGAUGGGAGACCACUAGGGAACACUAGGUUGCUGUUGGAA
This 117-nucleotide ribosomal RNA is filed under the name Danio rerio (zebrafish). Lineage: Eukaryota; Metazoa; Chordata; Actinopteri; Cypriniformes; Danionidae. The record is from RNAcentral.